UAAAGGGCAUUUGGUGGAUGCCUUGGCGCGCAGAGGCGAUGAAGGACGUGGCACGCUGCGAAAAGCCUCGGGGAGCCGCGAGCAGGCUUUGAUCCGGGGAUCUCCGAAUGGGGCAACCCCCACCUUCGGGUGGAUCACUCUCUGAAUUCAUAGGGGAGUGAGGCGAACCCGGCGAACUGAAACAUCUCAGUAGCCGGAGGAAAGGACAUCAACCGAGACUCCGUUAGUAGUGACGAGCGAACGCGGACCAGGCCAGUGGCUUCAAAAAAAUAACUAAAACAACAUGGAAAGGUUGACCAUAGAAGGUGAUAGUCCCGUAUAGGUAAAAAGUUUGAAGUCCUUGAGUAAGGCGGGACACGUGAAAUCCUGUUUGAACAUAGGGGGACCACCCUCUAAGCCUAAGUACUCUCUAGUGACCGAUAGUGAACAAGUACCGUGAGGGAAAGGUGAAAAGUACCCCGGGAGGGGAGUGAAAUAGUACCUGAAACCGUGUGCCUACAAGCCGUGAGAGCCUUAUGCCGCUUCGGUG
RNAcentral lists this ribosomal RNA (529 nucleotides) under Aplanochytrium sp. PBS07. RNAcentral's name for it is "partial Bacterial large subunit ribosomal RNA". It matches the Rfam family "Bacterial large subunit ribosomal RNA", at positions 1 to 595 of the family's 2925-position model. Lineage: Eukaryota; Bigyra; Thraustochytrida; Thraustochytriidae. The record is from RNAcentral.